RNAcentral lists this ribosomal RNA (252 nucleotides) under uncultured bacterium. Its description in RNAcentral is "partial 16S ribosomal RNA". It matches the Rfam family "Bacterial small subunit ribosomal RNA", at positions 524 to 776 of the family's 1533-position model. The record is from RNAcentral.
UACGGGGGGAGCAAGCGUUGUUCGGAUUUACUGGGCGUAAAGGGCGCGUAGGCGGCCAGCACAAGUCAGUUGUGAAAUCUCCGAGCUUAACUCGGAAAGGUCAACUGAUACUGUGGCUAGAGUGCGGAAGGGGCAACUGGAAUUCUUGGUGUAGCGGUGAAAUGCGUAGAUAUCAAGAGGAACACCUGCGGCGAAGGCGGGUUGCUGGGCCGACACUGACGCUGAGGCGCGAAAGCUAGGGGAGCGAACGGG